This is an RNA transcript of Argentina anserina (silverweed cinquefoil), 804 nucleotides long. It is a transcript of the gene named negative regulator of systemic acquired resistance SNI1-like, with no coding region annotated. The transcript has 5 exons. The record is from RefSeq and is a predicted model, not a curated record. Lineage: Eukaryota; Viridiplantae; Streptophyta; Magnoliopsida; Rosales; Rosaceae.
CCUCCGAGCCGCCGUAUGCUUCGAUCCCCUCCUCCAGCUCUCGCUCUAGAUCGAACAGUGCUCGAUUUCCGCCGCACUCUCCAAAUUCUUCACCAUCGUUCUCCCUCAGCACCUCGCCGUCGACGUCUCGGAUUUCGAUGCCGCUGCGAAAUAGGAGUAAAUGGUUUGAGUCGAUAUUUGCUAUCUUGAGGAUUGGGAAAUCUCUGGAGCUGACUAUGGCAAGUUUUAAGCUGUUGAAUGAGUUGGAUAAGUGUUUUCCUUGGGUGCAUUUGUCUGCUGCUGCUGAUGAAAUGAAGUCGUCCAGUGAACUUUCAUUAAUAGUGGAGAAUGAGGUGUGGUUUGUUUCUGCCAUGGUUUCCAACAUUUGAUAGAGAACCUUGCUGAUGCAACUGCUAAACCAAACUUCCAAGCCUCAGAAACAAAGAUUAUUUAUAGCUCGUUGAAUCCUGGAGUUGAAUAAGAGGACUGUUCAGGGUGCCUUGCAGUGCAGAUUCUUGAAAAAUAUGUGUGUAGCUGGCAUCCAACCUGAUGUUGUAGCCUAUACAACAUUUAUCAAGGUUUAAAGCUUUCUUGUCACACUACCUGGGUAUUCCAGAAGGCAGAGGAUUCCAAUUCAGCUUUGGAAUUAAAUCAGGAAGCCAUAAUAUUUUGGUCAUUGCUUAUAUUUUAGGUUCAUUACUUCAAAUGUAGUUCUCUGUAGAUCGAUUAGGACCAUUUUUUGUUUAUAGAAUUCUUACAUUUGAGAUCAUUAUUACUUUGGAGUUGAAUAUUAACUUUCAAUAAAGAUUCCUUUAUUAUGUUUUC